RNAcentral lists this ribosomal RNA (903 nucleotides) under uncultured bacterium. RNAcentral's name for it is "bacterial SSU rRNA". It matches the Rfam family "Bacterial small subunit ribosomal RNA", at positions 53 to 951 of the family's 1533-position model. The record is from RNAcentral.
ACAUGCAGUCGAGGGGCAGCAUCAUCAAAGCUUGCUUUGAUGGAUGGCGACCGGCGCACGGGUGAGUAACACGUAUCCAACCUGCCGACAACACUGGGAUAGCCUUUCGAAAGAAAGAUUAAUACCGGAUGGCAUAAUUAUUCCGCAUGGGAUAAUUAUUAAAGAAUUUCGGUUGUCGAUGGGGAUGCGUUCCAUUAGGCAGUUGGCGGGGUAACGGCCCACCAAACCUACGAUGGAUAGGGGUUCUGAGAGGAAGGUCCCCCACAUUGGAACUGAGACACGGUCCAAACUCCUACGGGAGGCAGCAGUGAGGAAUAUUGGUCAAUGGACGAGAGUCUGAACCAGCCAAGUAGCGUGAAGGAUGACUGCCCUAUGGGUUGUAAACUUCUUUUAUACGGGAAUAAAGUGAGCCACGUGUGGCUUUUUGUAUGUACCGUAUGAAUAAGGAUCGGCUAACUCCGUGCCAGCAGCCGCGGUAAUACGGAGGAUUCGAGCGUUAUCCGGAUUUAUUGGGUUUAAAGGGAGCGUAGGCGGGUUGUUAAGUCAGUUGUGAAAGUUUGCGGCUCAACCGUAAAAUUGCAGUUGAUACUGGCGACCUUGAGUGCAACAGAGGUAGGCGGAAUUCGUGGUGUAGCGGUGAAAUGCUUAGAUAUCACGAAGAACUCCGAUUGCGAAGGCAGCUUACUGGAUUGUAACUGACGCUGAUGCUCGAAAGUGUGGGUAUCAAACAGGAUUAGAUACCCUGGUAGUCCACACAGUAAACGAUGAAUACUCGCUGUUGGCGAUAUACAGUCAGCGGCCAAGCGAAAGCAUUAAGUAUUCCACCUGGGGAGUACGCCGGCACGGUGAAACUCAGAGGAAUUGACGGGGGCCCGCACAAGCGGAGGAACAUGUGGUUUAAUU